RNAcentral lists this ribosomal RNA (253 nucleotides) under uncultured bacterium. RNAcentral describes it as "partial 16S ribosomal RNA". It matches the Rfam family "Bacterial small subunit ribosomal RNA", at positions 524 to 776 of the family's 1533-position model. The record is from RNAcentral.
UACGAAGGGAGCUAGCGUUGUUCGGAAUCACUGGGCGUAAAGCGCACGUAGGCGGAUGUGUCAGUCAGGGGUGAAAUCCCGGAGCUCAACUCCAGAACUGCCUUUGAUACUGGCAAUCUCGAGUCCGGGAGAGGUGAGUGGAACUGCGAGUGUAGAGGUGAAAUUCGUAGAUAUUCGCAAGAACACCAGUGGCGAAGGCGGCUCACUGGCCCGAUACUGACGCUGAGGCACGAAAGCGUGGGGAGCAAACAGG